AGGCUAAGUACUCCUUGCUGACCGAUAGCGAACCAGUACCGUGAGGGAAAGGUGAAAAGCACCCCGACGAGGGGAGUGAAACAGUACCUGAAACCGAACGCCUACAAUCAGUCGGAGCUUGACUGGACUCUAAUGACAAUCUGGGCCAUGUGCCUGUUAAAACAGGAGAAGACAUAUGGCUGACGGAACUUUUGCAGUUCUUCUGAUCGUGCUAGGUGUGACCGACAUGGCCAGAAACUACUGUGGAAGCGACGAAGGAUGUUUUGCACGAUCGGAUACAGUUCCACGACUGGCAAUGUCAGUUGGCGAAGUUGUUAAGCGUCGCGCAAAACCCGCCAGCGAAUACUACAUGCGUUACGAUCUGGGCCGUACGAAUGGUCCGUUCGGACAUGCAAUGGGGUUUUCGAUUGGCGAAAAAGGCGAAACAUGGAUCGGUUUUGGUGAGACCUACAGAAUUGGUCUUGGCGAAACGCCAUUCUAUGUGGAGUUACACACGAUGCCGGGGAUCUACCUCGACAACGGUGGCUUCAAUCUAGGUGGUUUGAUUGAAUUUCGUUCCGGGAUCGAAUUUGGAUACGAAACUGAUAGUGGAUGGCGCUUUGCCGUCAGCUACGACCACAGAUCCAAUGCCGAAAUUUACGAAAACAAUCCCGGGAUAGAAACCGUGAUGUUUCGAAUAAGCACUCCAUACAGAUAGAUUGUUAUCAGUGUCCAGUCUUGUGACGGCGUACCUUUUGUAUAAUGGGUCAUCGACUUGGUCUAUCUAGCAAGCUUAAGCCGAUAGGUGUAGGCGCAGCGAAAGCGAGUCUUAAUAGGGCGUCGAGUUAGAUGGAUCAGA
This 838-nucleotide ribosomal RNA is filed under the name Antarctobacter albus. RNAcentral describes it as "Mameliella alba partial 23S ribosomal RNA". It matches the Rfam family "Bacterial large subunit ribosomal RNA", at positions 463 to 713 of the family's 2925-position model. The record is from RNAcentral. Lineage: Bacteria; Pseudomonadati; Pseudomonadota; Alphaproteobacteria; Rhodobacterales; Roseobacteraceae.